CGUGCCGCCGCCGGCGGGUGGAAGUCGGGGCCGAGGGCCUCUGUCCUCGAGGGCUCGAGGCCUCCGGUGACCUGAGGGCUCGAGGCCUCCGGUGACCUGAGGGCUCGAGGCCUCCGGUGACCUGAGGGCUCGAGGCCUCCGGUGACCUGAGGGCUCGAGGCCUCCGGUGACCUGGCCCGAACCUGCCGGGCAUUUCCCGCCCUCCGCGAAAAAGAUCACCUGGAAUGAGCGAGGAAGGGAAGGCGCACUGUUGUGUUUCUUCAGCUUGUUCAGAAAGCUUGAGAAACACAGGUCCACAGCCAGGCAGGUGGUUUCCUUAGCCCUGGGCGCAUUGCAGGAGGAGCGCCCUUCUCCCAUUCUCCAGUGUGGAAUGUGGAUUUUUCUUGCACAACUCCUACAUUUUGAAGGGGAAAAUUAUGAAGAGAUCCAAGAACAUUUCUGCUUAAGAAAAUCCACUUCGCUCUGAGGCCCAGAACCCAGGAGGAGUGUGAGAAGGGUCGAGAUGAUCUGGGGCGAGUCUGGAUGAGGCCCUUCGAAGCUCACCUGGAGGUGUGAUGGAUGGGAACUCAUCACAGAUCUUUUCAGGGAAGGGGUUCCAAGAGAAAACAAAGCAGCCAUGCUGGGGACCUCCUUCUCCAGUCCUGCUCCUCCCUGCACGAGGGUCUUAGCACACACCGCCCCUUCCUCUGACCCCUGUUCACCCUGCCCACUCCCUCUCAUUCUUCAGGUCUAGCUCACGAGGCAUAACUCCCUCAGAGAACCUCCCAUGGCCCUCCAUUAGUUUCUUCUUUUUUUUUAAUGUGGUUAAAGUCACAUAAUAGAAAACACAUGUAACCAUAUUUAUGUGUAUAGUACAGAGGUACUAAGCACAUUCGCACUGUCGUGCAGCCCUCACCAUCAUCCAUCUCCCGUAUUUUUCACCUUCCUAACUCUGUCACCAUUAAAUACUAAGUCCCCAUUCCGCCUCCCCACCCCCUAGCCCCUGGCCUCUAUGUAUGGACCUUCUGCCUCUGUGAAUUUGACUAUUCUAAGUAUCUCGUAUAAGUGGAAUCAAACAGCAUUUGUCUGCAUCUACUGUAUACUGGAAUGCAUUUU
Molecule: long non-coding RNA, 1095 nt
Organism: Bubalus bubalis (water buffalo)
Lineage: Eukaryota; Metazoa; Chordata; Mammalia; Artiodactyla; Bovidae
Exons: 3
Source: RefSeq, a predicted model, not a curated record